UGGGAAGUAAUUCAAUUUGGUAGAAGCCUUGAUUUGGAUUCAAGAGGUUGCAGGUUCGAAUCCUGUCUUCCCAACCA
RNAcentral lists this transfer RNA (77 nucleotides) under Bacteriophage sp. RNAcentral's name for it is "tRNA-Pro". It matches the Rfam family "tRNA". Rfam says of the family: Transfer RNA (tRNA) molecules are approximately 80 nucleotides in length. Their secondary structure includes four short double-helical elements and three loops (D, anti-codon, and T loops). Further hydrogen bonds mediate the characteristic L-shaped molecular structure. tRNAs have two regions of fundamental functional importance: the anti-codon, which is responsible for specific mRNA codon recognition, and the 3' end, to which the tRNAs corresponding amino acid is attached (by aminoacyl-tRNA synthetases). tRNAs cope with the degeneracy of the genetic code in two manners: having more than one tRNA (with a specific anti-codon) for a particular amino acid; and 'wobble' base-pairing, i.e. permitting non-standard base-pairing at the 3rd anti-codon position. The record is from RNAcentral.